This 440-nucleotide ribosomal RNA is filed under the name uncultured bacterium. Its description in RNAcentral is "partial 16S ribosomal RNA". It matches the Rfam family "Bacterial small subunit ribosomal RNA", at positions 338 to 795 of the family's 1533-position model. The record is from RNAcentral.
CCUACGGGUGGCUGCAGUGGGGAAUAUUGCACAAUGGGGGAAACCCUGAUGCAGCGACGCCGCGUGCGUGAAGAAGUAUCUCGGUACGUAAAGCUCUAUCAGCAGGGAAGAAAAUGACGGUACCUGACUAAGAAGCCCCGGCUAACUACGUGCCAGCAGCCGCGGUAAUACGUAGGGGGCAAGCGUUAUCCGGAUUUACUGGGUGUAAAGGGAGCGUAGGCGGCAGGACAAGUCUGGAGUGAAAUCCCGGGGCUUAACCCCGGAACUGCUUUGGAAACUGGGCGGCUGGAGUGAAGGAGGGGUAGGCGGAAUUCGUGGUGUAGCGGUGAAAUGCGUAGAUAUUAGGAGGAACACCGGUGGCGAAGGCGGCUUACUGGACUGCCACUGACAUUGAGGCUCGAAAGUGUGGGUAUCAAACAGGAUUAGAUACCCCAGUAGUC